Austrofundulus limnaeus is the source of this 608-nucleotide long non-coding RNA. RefSeq lists it as uncharacterized. The record is from RefSeq and is a predicted model, not a curated record. NCBI's taxonomy places the organism in Eukaryota, Metazoa, Chordata, Actinopteri, Cyprinodontiformes, Rivulidae. The transcript has 3 exons.
AAACUGAUACGUUUUUUUCUCUUCAUCUUCAAACAGCACCUGUGGGUCCAAAUGGCUCUCCACCAGAGAACACAAUGACAAACCCUGACGUUGGUCUUGGCCUCGUUGUUGGGAUCAUCACAGGCAUCAUCAUCCUCGUUGUGAUCAUCUUCAUCGCAUUGGGAAUGGCAGACGCAGAAUCAGAUGCUGGCUCAGAGGAUUGCUGUGGGUCGUUUACUAGAUGUUGUAAGGGUUUUGCUGCGUGUUGUGGGGGUUGUACUGCAUGUCUUCAGUGUUGGGGUGAAUGUUGCUCUGUUCUUUCUGCUGUUGAUGUGUAGAAGACAAAAAUUGCAAAUAUACCAAAGCCUUUCUUCAUUUGAAUAUCAUAUGUUUUUUUUUUUUGUUUUUAUUUUUUGGCGGUGUUACAUGGUGUCAUGGAGAAACUUUGCUUUGAAUCAGAAUAUCUACAUCUGUUCUAAAUAUCUCUGUCUGACUGAGAUCCUGAAGUUUUGUCUGAGACACCGAGGAAACACUUUAAGUGUUGCUGAUGUAUUCUCUCGUCAAAUUACAAAAUUCUUUGUAACGAAAGACUACAUUUGUUCAAAUAAACUAUUUUCACCUAUCCAUAA